Molecule: ribosomal RNA, 312 nt
Filed under: Triticum aestivum (bread wheat)
Lineage: Eukaryota; Viridiplantae; Streptophyta; Magnoliopsida; Poales; Poaceae
Description: partial small subunit ribosomal RNA
Source: RNAcentral
AUGCUCUUACUCUCGUGUGAGACCAACACUCUUGCAGAAGGCACGAGUAAACAAAUGUGGGAUACACACAGAGGCACAUUUCAUCAAAAUUCUAAAUGCCGCGUCGCUUCAAAUCUUGCCAUGGCUUUCCUGCGGCCAUUUCAGUUGCUCCAGUGCAUCAAGCCUCCAUGUUUCCUCGACUUUUCACUCUCUUCUCUCGUUGGAACUGCGCAGCGGGCACAGGACACAAACAUUCUUCCUACAAUCUCCCAUGCUGGUGACCCAACUCCUUGCUAUUUUUGGUGGUUUCAUAUCAAUGCACGGGCACUGUGA